This 139-nucleotide transfer RNA is filed under the name Candidatus Woesearchaeota archaeon. RNAcentral's name for it is "tRNA-Glu". The record is from RNAcentral. Lineage: Archaea; Nanobdellati; Candidatus Woesearchaeota.
GCCCCUAUGGUGUAGUCCGGUCAAUCAUCUUCGGUUCUCGACCGAAGGACCUGAGUUCAAAGGGAAUCCCUCUUUAGAAAAGAGGUCUUCCAACCCCAGAAACUAAUAUUCUGGGAAUAUGAAAAUCUCAGUGGGGGCA